GUCCAGCAGCAGGGACUAUGACUUCCUGGUCCCCAUCCAGUACAACACGAACCUGAUCCUUAUGGGCAGCCUGUAUAGAAAACUAUACACCCCAAAAAGUCUUCUGCCUGUCUGGGAGAGCUUGAAGCAUGGGGUGCCAGUGUACCGCUGAGGGAACAAAGUGGUGGUGGAUUAUAACAAACUGAUAAUAAGAGAUCUCUUGGAGAGGAAGACUGGAGACGUGGAUCUCACAGAGGAAGACAUAAAAACAAUAAAUGACCAGCAGCUUUGGAAGAAUAGCGUUAGUCCAUAUAGUGUAAUAACAGAAUUGUGGGAGUGUGUCCAGAAAGCUCUGACUGAAGAGCAAAGAAACCCUGCUACUGGAAUUAGUAAGUAAAAUUAUAUACAUUAAGGGACUCUCUAAGUGGAGGAGUUAUAAGCACAAGCACGAGGGAAAUAUAGAAGGGAAAACUGUUAAGUUGCUUAGGGUAAAAUAGUAAAUACGUUGAAAAGAGGUUGUGGGUUGGGUUUGAGGGGAUUGACAAGAGCUGUAGGGGGUGGGAGAGCCCCUGGCUGUGACAGUAGGGGCUGCUGGUUGGGGUUGAGGGGCACAAGCAGAGCUGUGUGUUGGGGAAGCCCACAGCUGUGAUAGCAGGGUCUGUGGGUCAGGGCAUUGGCAGAGCUGGGGGGCAUAAAGGGAGAAGCCCAGGGUUGGAGGUGAGGAUUAAGGGGCACCAGUGGAGCUGUGUGGUGAGAAAUUUUUCACUGUUCC
This 751-nucleotide long non-coding RNA is filed under the name Gopherus agassizii (Agassiz's desert tortoise). Its description in RNAcentral is "lncRNA (ENSGAGG00000007208.1)". The record is from RNAcentral. Lineage: Eukaryota; Metazoa; Chordata; Testudines; Testudinidae.